RNAcentral lists this unclassified non-coding RNA (470 nucleotides) under Hevea brasiliensis (rubber tree). Lineage: Eukaryota; Viridiplantae; Streptophyta; Magnoliopsida; Malpighiales; Euphorbiaceae. The record is from RNAcentral.
GCCAAGCUUAAAGAUAAAUCACUCCCCACAUGGAAAAUUACAAUAAAGCUUCUCAUGUGAGGUUAAUAUAAAUCAUUUGAAAAACCCAUGUUGAUAUGGGUCCACUUGGCUUGAUAUUUCAACCCAAAAAUAGUACGUACGUAUUGAGAUUCAUGCAUGGCUUUUUUUGACGAAACCAAACCAGAAGCAUACCAAUAACAUUACCAUUAUUCUGCCCACAUUCUGCGACAUCUAUACAUCCUGCCUUCCUGGCCAGCGAGGUGACUGUAUGUGCAAGGCACGUGAUCAUUCAUUUCACGAGGCAAUAACUAGCAAGCCUGCGAAAGUCUCAAUCAUUGCAUGAAACAAACCUUGACAUUAAACUUCUGGAUAUCCAUGUCGUAGACAAAAUGAUACAUAAAUCUACGACAACUUGUAUUAGUUAUGUUGUGGGAAUUGUGGGAAUAAUAUAAUGCUUGCCAGGUUUUAAA